Molecule: unclassified non-coding RNA, 280 nt
Filed under: uncultured fungus
Lineage: Eukaryota; Fungi
Description: sequence contains ITS1
Rfam family: 5.8S ribosomal RNA (bases 1-97)
Source: RNAcentral
GAAAUGCGAUACGUAUCAUGAAUUGCAGAACUCUGAAUGAUAAAUGUUUGAACGCACAUUGCGCCAGCCUUUGGUUGGCAUGUCUGUCUGAGAAUCUUAAAGUUCCCUUCAAACACGUGUUGUUGUUUGGCCAUUGAUAGCAUUCAUUGUUUUUUUUAAAACAAUGAGCUAUUGAAAUUGAUAAUCAAACGUGUUUAAUAAUGCCUUGACAAACUCAAAGCUUAUUAUAACCAAAACAAAACUUGGUUUCAGAUCAGACAGGAGGACCCGCUGAGUUUAA